RNAcentral lists this ribosomal RNA (253 nucleotides) under uncultured bacterium. Its description in RNAcentral is "partial 16S ribosomal RNA". It matches the Rfam family "Bacterial small subunit ribosomal RNA", at positions 524 to 776 of the family's 1533-position model. The record is from RNAcentral.
UACGGGGGGAGCAAGCGUUGUCCGGAAUUACUGGGCGUAAAGAGCUUGUAGGCGGUUCGUCGCGUCGAUUGUGAAAUCUUGCAGCUCAACUGCAAGUCUGCAGUCGAUACGGGCGGACUAGAGUACUGCAGGGGAGACUGGAAUUCCUGGUGUAGCGGUGAAAUGCGCAGAUAUCAGGAGGAACACCGGUGGCGAAGGCGGGUCUCUGGGCCGAUACUGACGCUGAGGAGCGAAAGCGUGGGGAGCGAACAGG